UACAGAGGGUGCAAGCGUUGUUCGGAAUUACUGGGCGUAAAGGGCGCGUAGGCGGUUUCGCAAGUCAAGGGUGAAAUCCCGGAGCUUAACUCCGGAAUUGCUUUUGAUACUGUGAGGCUAGAGUGUAUUAGAGGAUGGCGGAAUUCCUAGUGUAGUGGUGAAAUACGUAGAUAUUAGGAAGAACACCGGUGGCGAAGGCGGCCAUCUGGGAUACAACUGACGCUGAGGCGCGAAAGCGUGGGGAUCAAACAGG
This 253-nucleotide ribosomal RNA is filed under the name uncultured bacterium. Its description in RNAcentral is "partial 16S ribosomal RNA". It matches the Rfam family "Bacterial small subunit ribosomal RNA", at positions 524 to 776 of the family's 1533-position model. The record is from RNAcentral.